Long non-coding RNA from Bos taurus (domestic cattle), 328 nucleotides. Lineage: Eukaryota; Metazoa; Chordata; Mammalia; Artiodactyla; Bovidae. The record is from Ensembl.
GGAAGAUCCGCUGGAGGAGGAAAUGGCAAUCUACUCCAGUAUUCUUGCCUGGAAAAUCCCCUGGACAGAGGAGCCUGGAGGGCUGCAGUCCAUGGGGUCACAAAGAGUUGGACACGACUUGAGUGACUACGCAGACGACCCAGGCGGAUUCUUUACCGACUGAGCCACCUGGGAAGGCGGGGAAGCCCCACACCAUUGCCAAAGAGGUAUAAAAUGCAAGGAAAAGAACUGUUUACACUUUGCCUCCAGUUCGAGUGAUGUAAACUGAAGAAAGAUCUUCUACUCUGGCUAGUUUUAAAUGUCGCCUUCCCCUACAAGGUGAUGACAC